GUGGUGCCACAGAUGGUGCGGAAGCUGCUGCAGCUGCUGGAGAUGGAGCAGGAGACUGAGAGCGAGAGCGGCGGGUUUCCCCUGGCCGCGGCCACGGUGCUGCACAAGAUGCUGGAUUGCCGCAGGUACAGCACGCAGGUGUGCCUGCUCUUCCCAGAGUUCUUCGUGGCGCUCAUCUUCCAGCUCAAGCGGUCCGGGGAGCUCGCUUCCGAGGAGGACAGGGCUAUGUAUGUGAACGAGUGGGCCCCGUUCGAGCCUCCCCCCGCCACCAGGACGUUGGUGGAGGCGGCGCUCCGUUUGCUCUGGUGGAUGGAGCUGGAAGACCUGAAGAGCACCAUGACCAGACUGGAGAUGUGGAGGUGGCUGUUGUGCGGUGAUGAGUGGCAGAGCGCCGUGCCGGACAUCAGCGAGAUGAUGCUGAGUUCCUGCCGGGAUCAGUGCGCCCGCAUAUUCAGCCACCUGCAGAAGCUGCUGCUGCACCCUGAGCUGCGGUGGAGGGAGGUCCCCGCCUUAACAUUCUACACAGAGGUGCGUCCCCUCGGGGGGUUGAGGGGGCUGAGCCCUGCCCCUCCCACCCUGCCGCCCACUCACCACCACGCGUUACAGCUGUGGAGCUGCGAGGAGCUGCGGGACGAGGACACCUGCGCGGAGGAGAUCUUUAGGAAAUACAUCUGCAGCGAGAAGCCCAGGAGCAGGGAGCUGGCGCUGCGCGGGCUGCGGGGCCUGUAUGC
This 731-nucleotide long non-coding RNA is filed under the name Numida meleagris (helmeted guineafowl). RNAcentral describes it as "lncRNA (ENSNMEG00000013652.1)". Lineage: Eukaryota; Metazoa; Chordata; Aves; Galliformes; Numididae. The record is from RNAcentral.